Molecule: transfer RNA, 650 nt
Filed under: uncultured Prochlorococcus sp.
Lineage: Bacteria; Bacillati; Cyanobacteriota; Cyanophyceae; Synechococcales; Prochlorococcaceae
Description: 16S-23S ribosomal RNA intergenic spacer
Rfam family: tRNA (bases 268-340)
Source: RNAcentral
CAGGGAGACAACACAAUGAUUUUGAUGUCUGAGUAUUUUGAUUCUUAGGCCGAAAUCCUGUCACCUUAGGUCGAUCGGUACCUCAAGUUGAGAAUUAAAGAAAAGCUGAGUAAUCAGCUUGGAGAUUGAUGAUUGAUUUUAGUUCCUAAACUUGUCUAGGUCACACCCCGCAAGGGUUACUCCUGGGCCAUUAGCUCAGGUGGUUAGAGCGCACCCCUGAUAAGGGUGAGGUCCCUGGUUCAAGUCCAGGAUGGCCCAUUCGGUGUUGGGGGUUUAGCUCAGUUGGUAGAGCGCCUGCUUUGCAAGCAGGAUGUCAGCGGUUCGAGUCCGCUAACCUCCACUGACGAAUCUUCUGACAACGAGCCAAUGGUGAGAAUCGUUGUGUGAUGUGAUUUAGAAUUUAAGUUUGCUGGCAGACCCUAGCUUCUUAUCAUUCCAGGACUCAAGCAAUUGAGAUGAGGUUGAUAGGAUGCUGGGCUCAUUGUAAUUCGCAAGAAUUGCAGAGAUGUUCAGCAGAACCUUGACAACUGCAUAGGUAAGUCUGGAAAGAAUAAAGCAUCUCAUGGAUGCAUGAUUCUUGGGAAUCAGCUAAUGCAAUCUGCGCGAGCAGAGAGCUGAUGUUGAUCAACGAGAAUGAUGUUUGAUUCUUG